GGCAAGGCGGGCGUGUUCAAUGGAAGUAUGCUACCAGCUGCCGGUGCUGCCCCUGGACAGGCCGGUCCCCCAGCACGUCCUCAGCCGCCGAGGAGCCAUCAGCUUCAGCUCCAGCUCCGCGCUCUUCGGCUGCCCGCAUCCCCGGCAGCUCUCGCAGAGACGUGGAGCUAUUUCCUAUGACAGUUCUGACCAGACUGCGUUAUAUAUUCGUAUGCUCGGCGAUGUCCGCGUAAGGAGCCGAGCAGGAUUUGAAGCAGAAAGAAGAGGCUCACACCCGUAUAUUGACUUCCGUGUUUUCCACUCUCAAUCUGAAAUUGAAGCAUCAGUCUCUGCCAGGAACAUCAGAAGACUACUAAGUUUCCAGCGCUAUCUCAGAUCCUCGCGCUUUUUUCGGGGCGCCACAGUUUCUAGUUCUCUAAACAUUCUAGAUGACGAUUAUAAUGGACAAGCCAAGUGUAUGCUGGACAAAGUUGGAAACUGGAAUUUUGAUAUCUUUCUCUUUGAUAGAUUAACAAAUGGAAACAGUCUAGUAAGUUUAACCUUUCAUUUAUUUAGUCUUCAUGGAUUGAUUGAGUACUUCCAUUUAGAUAUGGUGAAACUGCGUCGAUUUUUAGUUAUGAUUCAAGAAGAUUACCACAGUCAAAAUCCUUACCACAAUGCAGUCCAUGCUGCGGAUGUUACUCAGGCCAUGCACUGUUACCUAAAGGAGCCUAAGCUUGCCAGUUCUGUAACUCCUUGGGAUAUCUUGCUGAGCUUAAUUGCAGCUGCCACUCAUGAUCUGGAUCACCCGGGUGUUAAUCAGCCUUUCCUUAUUAAAACCAACCAUUAUCUGGCAACUUUAUACAAGAAUACCUCAGUCCUGGAAAACCACCACUGGAGAUCGGCAGUGGGCUUGUUGAGAGAAUCUGGUUUGUUCUCGCAUUUGCCACUGGAAAGCAGGCAACAGAUGGAGACCCAGAUAGGUGCUCUGAUACUAGCCACAGACAUUAGCCGCCAGAACGAGUACCUGUCAUUGUUUAGAUCUCACUUGGACAGAGGUGACUUACACCUUGACGAUGGCAGACAUAGGCAUUUGGUUCUACAGAUGGCCUUGAAAUGUGCUGACAUCUGUAACCCCUGUCGGAGCUGGGAGCUAAGCAAGCAGUGGAGUGAAAAAGUAACGGAGGAAUUCUUCCACCAAGGAGAUAUAGAGAAAAAGUACCAUUUGGGUGUGAGUCCACUUUGUGAUCGUCAGACUGAGUCUAUUGCCAACAUCCAGAUUGGGUUUAUGACCUACCUGGUGGAGCCGUUAUUUACGGAGUGGGCCAGGUUUUCGGAUACAAGGCUGUCACAGACAAUGCUCGGCCAUGUGGGGCUGAAUAAAGCCAGCUGGAAGGGACUGCAGAGACAACCACCCGGCAGCGAGGAUGCAAACGCUGCCUUUCAGCUCAACUCACAGUUACUAACUCAGGAAAAUCGGUUAUCCUAACCUGAACCAGUGGGACCAGCUCCCUCCUGCAAGAUUGUGGAAAUGUGAACGGGGUCUCGAGGUGAAGAACUGGUUUCCAAGGAAAUGAUGCCAGCAUUAUUUAUUAUUGAGGUUUCUUCUGUUGGAUCAUUGGAGCCCACUUUUUAAUGAUAAGACUGAUUACGCAGCAAUAUGCAUCUGGCUUUCGUGUGAAACCUUGAAAUAUGCAAAGCUCAGCAGGUGAACCAGAAAGGAUCAUCAAAGGAAGAUUUGCUACGCGUUUCUUUCGAGCCCUGAAACUUGAACUGAAUCUCAGCAGAAUCUCGAUCUGACCUGCCCUAUUCCACAAACCAUCUGCCCCUUCCACUAUGUUCUCUCUGAGAAAACAGAAAUGUGAAGCGCCCAGCCUCUGCUGCCUCUGGCAAGACUCAAUGUUUACAAUCAACUCUGAAAUACUGGUUCUAAAUUGCCUUGGAGCGCGAUUGUGAAGGAGCCACUGAGACAGUCCCAGCUCCAGCUGGAGACUGUAGCUCUCUGGUGGUUUGCCUUUUUCUUCUUUGGAUGCCCUCAGAGCCUCCCUUUCCUUCGCUGUUUUGUCUUUGCGCUGGAGAGGGAGCGGCUGUCACACAGCACCAAGCACUUCACUCCCGUGCUGUUUGGCACUGCAGAUUUUUAACUCUUGGUUUUUCCUCUGGGGCGGGAGGGCCGGAACACCAGUGUCCCAGCUGUGUCCUGACUCUGAAGACACUGCAUGUUGUUUUCACUACUGUACACGUGACCUGCACAUGCAAGAAAAAGGUGGAAUGUUUAACACACCAUAAUCAGCUCAGGGUAUUUGCCGAUAUGAAAUAAAGUGGGAUGGGGAAGUGUGUCCUUCAGACCAAGGGAACUAAGUCCCUUUCGCUGCAGUGCGUGAGAGGCAAAUCUCCUUGGGAAGCCAAAUUAGGAGCAGCUGGUUUACUCAGUGAGCAAGGACUCUGAGCAAGGGACGCGUUUCCUCAUGCACCCAUCUCCCUGUGGGGAUACCUGCUGAUACCCAUAGCUGUGGACUGGGGUACCCUGUUCCUUUGGAUGCUCUAGGGGCUAUCUGCCACAGUUGUUUCUACACGGUAGCUUGACUGGUAACUCUGUUGGACCUGCCUGUUACUUCCUUCAGCCUUUUCUCUGCCUGGGGUGGCUGUUGACUUCCGCCCUGACUAUGCUGGUCUUGGACAAGGUGUAGCUCUCCUCUCUCCAGCUUCUCAAAAGGGAAACCAGGUGAUGCUCCCAGAUCUUUAGAGCUGUGUGGGAAUUACCUGCCACCCUCCUGCUUCUUCGACAUUCAAAUCACAUUUAAAAAAUAAAUAAAUAAAAAAGUAAGCAAAUACAUAGUGCAAAAUUCAUGACAUUUCAAGAGAAAUUUGAUACUUCAAAGAACUUUUGAGGAUGUAGCACCCAUUUGGGAGUCUGGGCCCAGUGCUGAAGAGGGGGUAGCUGAGAAAAUUUUAACAAGUCCUACCUAAACCACAAAUCUGGUUCCUCAUUAGUAUUUGUACUUUAAACAUAAUGGUUUGUAACAAGGCUCUUUGUAUUUUUUUUUAAAAAAAAAACAAAAUUCUCUAUUUUUGUCCUUUGUGAACCUGGAAAAAAAUCCCCUAUACCUGAGGUAUAGGUUAGAGGUGCUAGUGAUUCUUUUAUGGUUCAGAAUGGUCUUUUUCCGCAAUGCUUUUUGAUGUUUGUUUCCUAUUUAAGACCUAAAAAUCAUACUGCUUUAAAAGGAACAUGCAAAAACUAGUUAGCCCGUCUCCAGUGUGUAUUUGCAACCUAAGCUGCACUGGAGAUUUGGUAUUUGGUCUGCAGCCAUUCCCUAAGUACCUGCAGGCAUUGGGAGGACCCCCAACAUGGGCUUCAGGAGGAUAACCACCACCGCAGGCCAACACGGGCAUGAGCUGACAGGAACAUACAUGGUCUCUUCUGUUCUUCAGUGAGAACGGUAUAGGGUGGAUGUGAACUGGGCCAUCGGUAAACAGGUUACUGUGUAAUGUACCCUUUAGCUAGGAGUGGUUUGGUAGAACUGAAGUUGUAUAGUAAACGAUGUCUGGAUCCUGUUGUGUCGAACAUGGCGCUGGGAGUUAACAAUUUGAAAGAGCAUUAAAAGUUACAAGCCAGGGUCUCAAUGCGAUUGGUUUUCAGGGUUGUGUAUGAAGGGUGGCACUGGAGUACUGCCUGAGAGACAGGCUUAAGGACGAAACUAGCACCGUUCAUAUCUCUAAAUACCGAAAUCACUCGGCAUUCAAAUUUGAUUAAAGAAUACAGUUUUAAGUAUUCAAAAUGAGUGAAAUACUGACUUUAAACUUUCAUGCCUAAGCUUUGUAAGUUACCCUGGACUCCAUUUUUAGAAUCUGGUAGGAUGAAAGAGGAAAGAGAAAUGCCAUUAUUUUCAGUAUUCAGCUUCUUGUUGGCUCUGAACUUACAACUGAAACCUGCUGACUCAGUCAUUUACGGUUUUUAGUUGAUUCAGCAGUCUCUGUUAAAAAAAAUCCGUUUGUCUUUAAGCCCUCUCCUUCCACCUGUGUCUGUGUGUAUGUGUCUGUGUGUGUGUAAUAAAUUUGAAAUAUUUUUUCACUGUUUGAACAUGUCAUAAAAAUUUCAGAAAACUGUAAUUAAUGUAUCACAGUUUCUUAUCUUAAAUUUAUAAAAAUUAUAAAGUUUUGAAGGAAACA
Molecule: RNA transcript, 4149 nt
Organism: Microtus ochrogaster (prairie vole)
Lineage: Eukaryota; Metazoa; Chordata; Mammalia; Rodentia; Cricetidae
Gene: Pde7a
Gene name: phosphodiesterase 7A
Source: RefSeq, a predicted model, not a curated record